RNAcentral lists this long non-coding RNA (984 nucleotides) under Dermacentor andersoni. RNAcentral describes it as "uncharacterized LOC126522056". Lineage: Eukaryota; Metazoa; Arthropoda; Arachnida; Ixodida; Ixodidae. The record is from RNAcentral.
UUACCUACGCGACAGGUAUGUCAUGACAUUCAUGCCAUGGCAUAUCGUUUAUGUUCGUCAUACACUGUUGUCAUACUAUACCAAUUUUGGUACGUACCAAGUUAACAAGACGACCAUGAGAACACCAAGAUGUAUACGGCUGUUUCAUGACCUACAUGACAUACAUGUCAUGAUAUUCAUGUCAUGAUCGAUCAUUUAUGUUUCUCAUACACGCUAGUCAUACUAUGCCAGUUUUGGCACAUACCAAGUUUACGAAACGAACAGGAGAGUACUAAGACAUAGGCGGCUAGAUAGAGUGCAAUAGUGAUAGUGUGAUAGAUAUUGUCGAAGUGGCAAAUGUUCGCUAAGAAAUGCUUCGCAUUUAAAUGAGAAUACCUAUGGGGGUAUAUGGGGUUCCAUAGAAAAUGCAUCGGGAAGCCUAUAGUUAACAUGAAGGUGGGCCAACUUGAAAUUUGAGAGUGGGCCAAAAUAAAAUUUGCAAUGAGCCGACUUGAACUUGCCAGUGGGCCAACAUAAACCGGGGGGCGAACCACUUAAAUUUCGGGGGUAGGCCCACUUGAUAUUUUGAGGUGGACGAACUUAAAAUUUGGACGUGAGCCAACCUAAAUAUAGGGAUGGGUAAAGUUAACAUUUCGUGGUGGGGGUGGGCAAAGUUGAAUUUGAGGGCGGGGCACCUGGAAAUUUUGGGGUGGGCGAACUGAAAUUUGGAAGCACGCUUACACUUACUUGCACAACUAAAGUCGAAUUUCUGCAUUCUUUUUGUUGUAAUUUAUCCGUUAUUAGGCACUGCCGAAAUGCUCCACCCCAAUACACCAUUUGUACAAGAUGUUUUACUGCAGCACACUUGCGUGUUACUACGAAGCUUUCCUUAUUUUAUUUGCCAUUAUGGAACAUUUAUAAGACCUCUGCCGCGGAUUCUACUACUUUUGCUUUGUGCUACACCAACUAUUUUUCAAGCUGCGUAAAAAAAGUCCUCUUUCAAUA